Molecule: small RNA, 2946 nt
Filed under: Pongo abelii (Sumatran orangutan)
Lineage: Eukaryota; Metazoa; Chordata; Mammalia; Primates; Hominidae
Description: retained intron
Source: RNAcentral
CGGAAGUUUAGCGAACCACCCUCAACUUCCGGAAGAGCGCAGAAGUUUGCCAGAAAACCGCCGGAAACGGACAGAAAGGAGUCCCUGCGACCGCGUAGCCUCCUGCAGCGCCCCCUGUUGGCAGAGUCGUAGUGAGGCCGAGAUGAGGUCCGCGACGUGGCUGCGUGAGCAUCGCGGCUGCCUGUGGAUGGGUGGGCGUGGGGCUGAGAGGAGACGACAGUGGGGAGCUUCCUCAGCGAUCCUGGGCUUCUCGGGUCAGGCCGACUUCAGUCCGGGCUGGAGGCCAUGCACAACACCAAGCGCAUGGCGGGGUCCUCAGCUGCCUCGGGACUGGCUCCGCCUCUGCUCCUGGUCCUGGGAUGGGGGCCAAAGGUUUUGGGCAGUGGCAGCAGCAGGAGGAAGUAGCACCCGGAAAACCUGUCUCCUGAGUCGACCCUUCCUGUCUGGGGGGCUGAACCCUGGCUGUCUUUGUUCCCAUAGCAACGAAUAGGGCUCCCCUAGGUUCCAGCCCCUUAGAUACGGUGUGCCCCAGGAGGGCUCUGAAGGAGCUACAGGUCCUUGUGGUGCGAAGGGAGGCGGGAGGUGGGCUGGGGCAGCCUGGCUGGCCUGUGUGGAGACAUCACACUUCCUGGUUGGGGACAGGGUGAAGAGGGUUGGUCCCCACCUCUGCCUUGAGCAGAGCUUCCAGUGGGUGAAGCAGUGGGGGUCUCCUGCCUGCGGGAAGGAUGGGUGGGGCUUCCACAUCGCAGCCCAGUAGGGUGGACUGACCGGUCUUCUGACCUCUGGCUCCUUGGAGGGGCUUGAGGUGGGCCCUGGCAUCCCCAGCCUCCUCUAAACCACCUCCCUGGAACAUGCGGGACGGGAGCCCAAGCGGCAUCUGAGGAGGGCGGGUUUUGCCAGGCACAGAGGGCUCCAGCGUGAUUGCCACUGUUUAAUGACCUGCCACCCCCGCCCCCGCAACCUCUGGUGCCGUCCAAGGACUCUGACCCCAGUGCAGUGUCUGUAGGGAAGAGGAGCCAUGGGGCUUCGGGCAGGCCCCAUCCUGCUUCUGCUGCUGUGGCUGCUGCCAGGUGAGGGAUGCGCCUCUGUCUUCUCCUCCCUCCCACCCCCUGCCAGCCUGUGUGCUCCCCUUUGCUCUCUUGCUUUCCAGGGGCCCAUGGGGAUGUGCUGCCUUCAGGUACCGUGGACAUCUCAUCCCUGCACUCAACCAGCCCCUACUCCUGGCCAGGGAGGACUGGCCCCAGGGGACAUGCAGAGGCCCUUGGCCCUGGGAGCCUCAUCCCUGGACAUCAAGGGCAGAGGGAUGUCAGGAGGUGUUAGGGUAAAGAGUGAGACCGGGAGGAAGGGGCUUUCUGAGAGGGAAGAAAGCUGAGGUCUGCCACCCGCCCAUCCCUCUGCAGAAUGCGGCCACUCCAAGGAGGCUGGGAGGAUUGUGGGAGGCCAAGACACCCAGGAAGGAUGCUGGCCAUGGCAGGUUGGCCUGUGGUUGACCUCAGUGGGGCACGUAUGUGGGGGCUCCCUCAUCCACCCACGCUGGGUGCUCACGGCCGCCCACUGCUUCCUGAGGUGAGUGGCGCUGGGUGGGGGUGUUCCUCACCCCUCCCCUCGGCGGCUGCCUGCAGUGGGCCGUGUUUCCGUUCCGCUCCCAGGUCUAAGGAUCCCAGGCUCUACCAUGUUAAAGUCGGAGGGCUGACACCCUCCCUUUCAGAGCCCCACUCGGCCUUGGUGGCUGUGAGGAGGCUCCUGGUCCACUCCUCAUACCAUGGGACCACCACCAGCGGGGACAUUGCCCUGAUGGAGCUGGACUCCCCCUUGCAGGCCUCCCAGUUCAGCCCCAUCUGCCUCCCAGGACCUCAGACCCCCCUCGCCAUUGGGACCGUGUGCUGGGUAACGGGCUGGGGGUCCACCCAGGAGAGAGGUAAGAGGAAUAUGCACUCACCAGCCCCUACUCCUAGUCAGGGAGGACCCGCCCAGGGACCACGCGGAGCCAGCCUGAGUGGUCUCCACAGACCUUGGUCCACGUGUUUAUCUUCUCUCCCCUCCCACCCCACCCUGAAGCUGGGAACACUUGGGGCCAGGACCCAUGCUGUCCAGACUGUGGGACUCCCCUUGGCCAAGGCGACCACCAUAUUGAAUUUUGGGGAUCUUGAGCCAGUGUCCAGGAUUGUGCCCGUGUUGGGAUGAAUAAGCCAAGGCUAAGAGGUCAUGAGAUUAGCCAGGGUCAUGGGACAGGAUCUGGGCUUGAGCCCUGCUCCCUGACCCCACUGCCUCCUGGUUUGGGAGUUGAGAAGAGCAGGGUGGGUAGGCAGAGAAGAGGUAGGAGGUGCAGGCUGCUACCAUCACAGGUGAGAGGGAGGAGGCUCACCAGAUGGGGACGAGGCUUGAGGUGGGCUCAGGCUGGCCCCCCCAUCACAUCCAGCCCUGGCGAGUGUCCUUCAGGAGGUGGCUGUGCCCCUCCUGGACUCGAACAUGUGUGAGCUGAUGUACCACCUAGGAGAGCCCAGCCUGGCUGGCCAGCGCCUCAUCCAGGACGACAUGCUCUGUGCUGGCUCUGUCCAGGGCAAGAAAGACUCCUGCCAGGGUGACUCCGGGGGGCCGCUGGUCUGCCCCAUCAAUGAUACGUGGAUCCAGGCCGGCAUUGUGAGCUGGGGAUUCGGCUGUGCCCGGCCUUUCCGGCCUGGUGUCUACACCCAGGUGCUAAGCUACACAGACUGGAUUCAGAGAACCCUGGCUGAAUCUCACUCAGGCAUGUCCGGGGACCGCCCAGGUGCCCCCGGGUCCCACUCAGGCACCUCCAGAUCCCACCUAGUGCUGCCGCUUGAGCUGUUGACCGUAUGCUUGCUUGGGUCCCUGUGAACCAUGAGCCAUGGAGUCUGGGAUCCCCCUUCUGGUAGGAUUGAUGGAAUGUAAUAAUAAAAACUGUAAGUUUUUUUAACGUGUAUUUUA